CCUACGGGGAGCUGCAGUGGGGAAUAUUGGACAAUGGGGGGAACCCUGAUCCAGCCAUGCCGCGUGUGUGAAGAAGGCCCUCGGGUUGUAAAGCACUUUCAGUGAGGAAGAACGCCUGGUGGUUAAUACCCAUCAGGAAAGACAUCACUCACAGAAGAAGCACCGGCUAACUCCGUGCCAGCAGCCGCGGUAAUACGGAGGGUGCGAGCGUUAAUCGGAAUUACUGGGCGUAAAGCGCGCGUAGGUGGCUUGAUAAGCCGGUUGUGAAAGCCCCGGGCUCAACCUGGGAACGGCAUCCGGAACUGUCAAGCUAGAGUGCAGGAGAGGAAGGUAGAAUUCCCGGUGUAGCGGUGAAAUGCGUAGAGAUCGGGAGGAAUACCAGUGGCGAAGGCGGCCUUCUGGACUGACACUGACACUGAGGUGCGAAAGCGUGGGUAGCAAACAGGAUUAGAUACCCUAGUAGUC
Molecule: ribosomal RNA, 465 nt
Filed under: Vreelandella stevensii
Lineage: Bacteria; Pseudomonadati; Pseudomonadota; Gammaproteobacteria; Oceanospirillales; Halomonadaceae
Description: partial 16S ribosomal RNA
Rfam family: Bacterial small subunit ribosomal RNA
Source: RNAcentral